Molecule: ribosomal RNA, 371 nt
Filed under: Codium fragile
Lineage: Eukaryota; Viridiplantae; Chlorophyta; Ulvophyceae; Bryopsidales; Codiaceae
Description: partial 23S ribosomal RNA
Rfam family: Bacterial large subunit ribosomal RNA
Source: RNAcentral
GSUUGRCUGUAUYUUAAAAWUGAAUUUGAGUUUUUUUCGCGCAGUCUAAGUGGGAGACAAUGAAAAUAAUUUUUUGGAAAUAUUUGAGUCGUAAAAUGAGAGACCACUCUUGAAAAACUAAAAUUCUAAUAAUACAUUCUUCUAUCAGAAUAUUAAACAGUUUUAGGUGGGCAGUUUUUUUGGGGCGAAAACCUCCCAAAAAGUAACGGAGGUGUACAAAGGUUUCUUCAAACUGGACGGAAAUCAGUUAUAGAGUAUAAAGAUAAAAAGAAGCUUAACUGUGAGACAGACACGUCAAACAGAGGCGAAAGCCGGUCUUAGUGAUCCGACGGUUCUAAGUGGAAAGGCCGUCGCUCAACGGAUAAAAGUUA